This 440-nucleotide ribosomal RNA is filed under the name uncultured bacterium. RNAcentral describes it as "partial 16S ribosomal RNA". It matches the Rfam family "Bacterial small subunit ribosomal RNA", at positions 338 to 795 of the family's 1533-position model. The record is from RNAcentral.
CCUACGGGAGGCAGCAGUGGGGAAUAUUGCACAAUGGGGGAAACCCUGAUGCAGCGACGCCGCGUGAGUGAAGAAGUAAUUCGUUACGUAAAGCUCUAUCAGCAGGGAAGAAAAUGACGGUACCUGAGUAAGAAGCCCCGGCUAUCUACGUGCCAGCAGCCGCGGUAAUACGUAGGGGGCAAGCGUUAUCCGGAUUUACUGGGUGUAAAGGGAGCGUAGACGGUGCGCCAAGUCUGGAGUGAAAGCCCAUGGCUUAACCAUGGUACUGCUCUGGAAACUGUGGAGCUGGAGUGCGGGAGGGGCAGGCGGAAUUCCUAGGGUAGCGGUGAAAUGCGUAGAUAUUAGGAGGAACACCGGCGGCGAAGGCGGCCUGCUGGACCGUAACUGACGUUGAGGCUCGAAAGCGUGGGGAGCAAACAGGAUUAGAUACCCUAGUAGUC